CUUUUUGAGUCUGCUCUGUCAGAACAAGUGAGAAAUGACUUCAAAAUUUGCUACCAGCUUUCCAAUUGCACAAAGCGAAGUGUGACUAGCACAUCAAAGUGGCAUAAGUCAGGGAAAAGUGGCAUUCGUACUGAGUUGAUAACAAUUGAAGUGCUUUGGGAUUCAUGUGAAAUGCAAAGGUUCGGUAAAUGUCAAUUCAUGGGUACAAUGCAACAGAUAGAGGAUUUGGGCUUGAACGGAUCAUAGGUAUUUUCUGUGAUAAGGGUGAUAGAGAAAGUGGUUAGCCAAUAACAAUCAAGGUCUUCCAAGUUGAAAUCAAAGUUAUCAUGGCAAGUGUAGGAGCAAUCACCCUCAAGAUCAAGGCCACAAAUCAACCACUAUGUUUUAAACUCACAAGUCUUCUUUGCUUGAAACAGGGACGAAGACUAUGUCCAAAUCAAAGAUUGGAAGUUGGAAUUUUUCAGGUAUCGUGCCCAAAUUUUGGGAGCACAAAGGUUGUUUGAGAAGGUUUUUACCUAGUUGAGAAGAUCAUACCUCCUAGGCAUUCUCCCUAGUUGGAAGAAUUUAUAGUUUUUCUUAAGUUCAGGGGUCCCGCCUGGAGAAUAGGGUCAAUUGUUAGUUUCCUUAAGUUUUAAUCUUUAGUUUUUUGAGUUCAGGGGUCCCGCCUGGAAAAUAUGGUCAAUUUUUAGUUUAGUCAAGCUCAGUUUAUAGUUUUCCUCAAGCUCAACCUCAAAUAUAGGAGAUGCACUUCCUAGUUUGGGUUUUUCAGAUUCUAUUUCUUUAGGAGGUGCACUUCCUAAUUUUAUGUUAAAGGCUUCACCCUUAGGAGACGCACUUCCUAGUGUGAGUCAUUUAAGUUCAUCCCUAGGAGACGCACUUCCUAGUUUGAGUAAUUUAAGUUCACCCCUAGUAGACUCACUUCCUAAUCUGGAUCUUUCAGGUUAUUCUUUUAGGAGACGUACUUCCUAGUUUGGGUCAUUCAGGUUUUAUUUUUAGCAGACGCAUUUGCAAGUCAAAUUUUCUUGGUUUUACUAAUAGGAGACGUACAUACUAGUCGAGUCUUUAGUUUUACUCUCAUCAUUGCAUCAAUAGCAUAGGUAUUUUACAGUUUUGCUAACAACUCACAAAUCUUCCUAGUGUAAACUGAGGCAGAAAAUUUUGUUUGUUGUGUUGUUUUAAUUGCAGGCACCCACUUGAAAAAUGAAGGGAAAUAUUUCAGAAAUCAAUUUUAGGUUCAAGUCAUUGGCAGGCGCCCACCUGGAGAACGAGGAAAUUUAUUUCAAUUUUAAAGUCAUCAGGCGCCCACCUGGAGAAUGAGGGAAUUUAUUUUAAGUUUUAAGUCAUCACGCGCCCACCUGGAGAACGAGGGAAUUUAUUUCAAGUUUUAAGUCAUCAGGCGCCCACCUGGAGAAUGAGGGAAUUUAUUUCAAGUUUUAAGUCAUCAAAAGCCCACCUGGAGAAUGAGGGAAUUUAUUUCAAGUUUUAAGUCAUCAGGCGCCCACCUAGAGAACGAGGGAAUUC
This 1521-nucleotide long non-coding RNA is filed under the name Nicotiana tabacum (common tobacco). RNAcentral's name for it is "long non-coding RNA (NTAB_LNC005593)". The record is from RNAcentral. Lineage: Eukaryota; Viridiplantae; Streptophyta; Magnoliopsida; Solanales; Solanaceae.